This 652-nucleotide ribosomal RNA is filed under the name Dujonia zeylanoides. RNAcentral describes it as "eukaryotic LSU rRNA". It matches the Rfam family "Eukaryotic large subunit ribosomal RNA", at positions 1 to 667 of the family's 3401-position model. The record is from RNAcentral. Lineage: Eukaryota; Fungi; Ascomycota; Pichiomycetes; Serinales; Debaryomycetaceae.
UUUGACCUCAAAUCAGGUAGGACUACCCGCUGAACUUAAGCAUAUCAAUAAGCGGAGGAAAAGAAACCAACAGGGAUUGCCUCAGUAACGGCGAGUGAAGCGGCAAAAGCUCAAAUUUGAAAUCUAGCACUUUCAGUGUUCGAGUUGUAAUUUGAAGAAGGUAACUUUGGUUUUGGCUCUUGUCUAUGUUCCUUGGAACAGGACGUCACAGAGGGUGAGAAUCCCGUGCGAUGAGAUGCCCAAUUCCAUGUAAAGUGCUUUCGAAGAGUCGAGUUGUUUGGGAAUGCAGCUCUAAGUGGGUGGUAAAUUCCAUCUAAAGCUAAAUAUUGGCGAGAGACCGAUAGCGAACAAGUACAGUGAUGGAAAGAUGAAAAGAACUUUGAAAAGAGAGUGAAAAAGUACGUGAAAUUGUUGAAAGGGAAGGGCUUGAGAUCAGACUUGGUAUUUUGCGUUCCCUUCCUUUUUGGUUGGGUUCCUCGCAGUUUACUGGGCCAGCAUCGGUUUGGAUGGUAGGAUAAUGACAUUGGAAUGUAGCUUUACUUCGGUGAAGUGUUAUAGACUUUGUUGAUACUGCCUAUCUAGACCGAGGACUGCGUCUUUGACUAGGAUGCUGGCGUAAUGAUCUUAAGCCGCCCGUCUUGAAACACGGACC